UACGGGGAGGGCAAGCGUUGUUCGGAAUUACUGGGCGUAAAGGGCUCGUAGGUGGCCAACUAAGUCAGACGUGAAAUCCCCAGGCUUAACCUGGGAACUGCGUCUGAUACUGGAUGGCUAGAGUUUGGGAGAGGGAUGCGGAAUUCCAGGUGUAGCGGUGAAAUGCGUAGAUAUCUGGAGGAACACCGGUGGCGAAGGCGGCAUCCUGGACCAACACUGACGCUGAGGAGCGAAAGCCAGGGGAGUAAACGGG
This 253-nucleotide ribosomal RNA is filed under the name uncultured bacterium. RNAcentral describes it as "partial 16S ribosomal RNA". It matches the Rfam family "Bacterial small subunit ribosomal RNA", at positions 524 to 776 of the family's 1533-position model. The record is from RNAcentral.